RNAcentral lists this ribosomal RNA (497 nucleotides) under uncultured bacterium. RNAcentral describes it as "partial 16S ribosomal RNA". It matches the Rfam family "Bacterial small subunit ribosomal RNA", at positions 28 to 507 of the family's 1533-position model. The record is from RNAcentral.
GAUGAACGCUGGCGGCGUGCCUAAUACAUGCAAGUCGAGCGAACGGACGAGAAGCUUGCUUCUCUGAUGUUAGCGGCGGACGGGUGAGUAACACGUGGAUAACCUACCUAUAAGACUGGGAUAACUUCGGGAAACCGGAGCUAAUACCGGAUAAUAUCUUGAACCGCAUGGUUCAAAAGUGAAAGACGGUCUUGCUGGCACUUAUAGAUGGAUCCGCGCUGCAUUAGCUAGUUGGUAAGGUAACGGCUUACCAAGGCAACGAUGCAUAGCCGACCUGAGAGGGUGAUCGGCCACACUGGAACGGAGACACGGUCCAGACUACUACGGGAGGCAGCAGUAGGGAAUCUUCCGCAAUGGGCGAAAGCCUGACGGAGCAAGGCCGCGUGGGUGAUGAAGGUCUUCGGAUCGUAAAACUCUGUUAUUAGGGAAGAACAUAUGUGUAAGUAACUGUGCACAUCUUGACGGUACCUAAUCAGAAAGCCACGGCUAACUACGUG